CCGGUAGAGUGGCGCACGGGUGAGUAACACGUAGGUUAUCUACCUCCGAGUGGGGAAUAACAUCGGGAAACCGAUGCUAAUACCGCAUAACACCGAAAGGUCAAAGCUUUAUGCGCUUGGAGAGGAGCCUGCGGCAGAUUAGCUAGUUGGUAAGGUAAUGGCUUACCAAGGCGACGAUCUGUAUCCGGUCUAAGAGGACGGUCGGACACACUGACACUGAAUAACGGGUCAG
This 232-nucleotide ribosomal RNA is filed under the name uncultured bacterium. RNAcentral describes it as "partial 16S ribosomal RNA". It matches the Rfam family "Bacterial small subunit ribosomal RNA", at positions 87 to 334 of the family's 1533-position model. The record is from RNAcentral.